GCCCUGUUCGAAUAAAAAGAAAAGAAGCAUAUGAGCCAAAAAUCACAGUGUAGCCAAGCUGAAGACCUACAACCAUGGCGGCCUUAAGCAUACUGUAGUUAUGCCUGACAUAGAUCUCCAUCCAAUGGUUUAAAUGUGCCAAGCUGAAAAGAAUAGGGCAGAGAAAAAAAGACACUGUAGAUCUUGAAUCCUCCACACAGAAGUAAAGGUAUCAUACAUGCUCUAAACACCAAUUCCUCUGUUAAUGGAGCCACUACAUAAUUGCGCCACGCCAGAACAUUAGAAGAAGUUGAAGACAUCCAAGCAAUGAAGUUUUGCAUGAGAUUUUUGAUGUAGCCAAAUGAAAAUCCUCCACACUCAUUCAAAUGCUCCUUCCAUGACUCCACCAAUAACAAUAACUUGAGGCAAAAAGAUCCAGCGUACAUUAAAGAAGUCAAGGAAAUAGGAAAGACCACCGCUUGCCAAAUAUGGUCAAACCGGAUUCCAUAAACGCCAAGCAAAUGAGAUGCUUCCCUGCUACUCAUAGGAAGGAUAAGAGAGCAGAAAACAAUAGACACAAUCGAAGAAAUGGCGGCGCAUACGAACCGUCGGAUCAUGAAUUCCUUGAGAGAGGACGGAGGUGGGAGCCGUAAGAUCAAACUGGGAGCAUAAAGAAUAGCCACAUAAAACAAAGUCAUGGCCGCGCAGGCUAUCACCGCCGCGGAUUCUGACAAUCCGGUUUCUUGCUCCAUUUUCUUCGAAUUCUCGAACCCUAGACAG
Molecule: unclassified non-coding RNA, 759 nt
Filed under: Hevea brasiliensis (rubber tree)
Lineage: Eukaryota; Viridiplantae; Streptophyta; Magnoliopsida; Malpighiales; Euphorbiaceae
Source: RNAcentral